GAGUUUGAUCCUGGCUCAGGAUGAACGCUGGCGGCGUGCCUAAUACAUGCAAGUCGAGCGAACAGAUAAGGAGCUUGCUCCUUUGACGUUAGCGGCGGACGGGUGAGUAACACGUGGGUAACCUACCUAUAAGACUGGAAUAACUCCGGGAAACCGGGGCUAAUGCCGGAUAAUAUUUAGAACCGCAUGGUUCUAAAGUGAAAGAUGGUUUUGCUAUCACUUAUAGAUGGACCCGCGCCGUAUUAGCUAGUUGGUGGGGUAAUGGCUUACCAAGGCAACGAUACGUAGCCGACCUGAGAGGGUGAUCGGCCACACUGGAACUGAGACACGGUCCAGACUCCUACGGGAGGCAGCAGUAGGGAAUCUUCCGCAAUGGGCGAAAGCCUGACGGAGCAACGCCGCGUGAGUGAUGAAGGUCUUCGGAUCGUAAAACUCUGUUAUUAGGGAAGAACAAAUGUGUAAGUAACUGUGCACGUCUUGACGGUACCUAAUCA
This 494-nucleotide ribosomal RNA is filed under the name uncultured bacterium. Its description in RNAcentral is "bacterial SSU rRNA". It matches the Rfam family "Bacterial small subunit ribosomal RNA", at positions 9 to 485 of the family's 1533-position model. The record is from RNAcentral.